This 305-nucleotide ribosomal RNA is filed under the name uncultured bacterium. RNAcentral's name for it is "bacterial SSU rRNA". It matches the Rfam family "Bacterial small subunit ribosomal RNA", at positions 335 to 638 of the family's 1533-position model. The record is from RNAcentral.
GGCCUACGGGGGGCAGCAGUGAGGAAUAUUGGCCAAUGGGCGGAAGCCUGAACCAGCCAAGUCGCGUGAGGGAAUAAGGCCCUACGGGUCGUAAACCUCUUUUGCCGGGGAGCAAGGGCCGGGACGCGUCCCGGCCCGGAGAGUACCCGGAGAAAAAGCAUCGGCUAACUCCGUGCCAGCAGCCGCGGUAAUACGGAGGAUGCGAGCGUUAUCCGGAUUUAUUGGGUUUAAAGGGUGCGUAGGCGGGCUUUUAAGUCAGCGGUAAAAAUUCGGGGCUCAACCCCGUCCGGCCGUUGCAACUGGGG